CCAGUUCAUACACUUUGAAAGUGAGACUGCGGAAGGCUCAGUAAAUCAGUUAUAAUCUAUUCGAAAGUCAACCCAUUGGAUAACCGUGGGAAAUCUAGAGCUAAUACAUGUACCAAAGGCAGCCGGUAGCAAUACCGGUUGUUUGCAUUUAUUAGACAAAACCAAAUGUUGGGAGGUUGUUCGCAGCCUCUCAAUAGGGUGAUUCUAGAUAACUGAGCAGAUCGCAUGGCCUCGUGCCGGCGACGUUUCGAUUGAAUUUCUGCCCUAUCAACUUGAUGGUAAGGUAGUGGCUUACCAUGGUUGCAACGGGUAACGGGGAAUCAGGGUUCGAUUCCGGAGAGGGAGCCUGAGAAACGGCUACCACAUCCAAGGAUGGCAGCAGGCGCGUAAAUUACCCAAUCCAGACAAUGGGAGGUGGUGACCAGAAGUACUGAGUGGUAGACAUUGUCUACUAAUCUCGGAAUGAGCAUAAAGUAAAAAGUUAGUCGAGUAACGACUGGAGGGCAAGUCUGGUGCCAGCAGCCGCGGUAAUUCCAGCUCCAGUAGCAUGUCGUAAAGUUGUUGCGUUUAAAACGCUCGUAGUUGGAUCAUACGGUACCGGCCAGUUAAUUUGCGUGGGGCAGACAUUCAAUCCCACGCUUUGAGUUCCCUCCGGUUAGUUCUGGAGGGGCUUUUGGUGUGGGAGUUUGUCCCUGUAGAUUACCAGCUGGCCGGUACUACUUGCGCGCAAGAAUGGUGGUUGGCCUUAAGUGCGUCGGCCACUGUGUCUUGCGGAGUGUGCCUUGAAUAAAUCAGAGUGCUUAAAGCAGGCGCGUGCCUGAAUGAUACAGCAUGGAACGAACAAACGUGUUAGUUGCAUGUCAGGUGGUUGUUUCAGCUAUCUGGCGUGCACAUCACCAGCCGCCAUGUACGGAUGUUGGUUUCCGUAUUGGGGUGAUGAUUAAAACGAGCGGUUGGGGGCAUUGGUAUUUGGCCACGAGAGGUGAAAUUCUUAGACUGGCCAAGGACUAACAAAAGCGAAGGCAUUUGCCAAGACCGUUUCGAUUGAUCAAGAACGAUAGUGGGAGGUUCGAAGACGAUCAGAUACCGUCCUAGUUCCCACAGUAAACUAUGCCGACCCGGGAUCAGUUUAGAGCUAUUGUCAACGCUCCAGGUUGGUCCCCCUGGGAAACCUUAAGUGUUUGGGUUACGGGGGGAGUAUGGUCGCAAGGCUGAAACUUAAAGGAAUUGACGGAAGGGCACCACCAGGGGUGGAGCCUGCGGCUUAAUUUGACUCAACACGGGAAAACUCACCGGUUCCGGACGUCAAUAGGAUAGACAGACUGAUAGAUCUUUCUUGAUAUGAUGUGUGGUGGUGCAUGGCCGUUCUUAGUUCGUGAAGUGAUUUGUCAGGUUAAUUCCGGUAACGAACAAGACCAAAAUCUCCAUUUACGGUGCAGAAUAGGCGACCGCAAGGUCGACUCUAGUUGCGAGCACUGGCUAAAGGCACCCGCCCGAGGCUGGUGCUUGGAACUUUUCUUCUGUAACGCCGUGCACAGCAAUGUGUAAGGCUGCAUGGAGAGACAACUGACUUUCAAAUCAGAGGAAGUUUGGCAAUAACAGGUCUGUGAUGCCCUUAGACGUACCGGGCUGCACGCGCGCUACAAUGAUGAUGACAACGAGAUAUCUGGGCCGAAAGGCUUGGGAAAUCUGCCAAUCAUCAUCGUGAUGGGGAUUGUCCAUUGUAAUUUGGACAUGAAAUAGGAAUCCCUUGUACGUGCACUUCAUCUAAAGUGCGUGGAAUGAGUCCCUGCCCUUUGUACACACCGCCCGUCGCUACUACCGAGUGAAUUAUGUCAUGAUGCGUUGGGACCGGACGCCGUUCGGGCUAACCCCUGAAUGGCGCUGGGAUCAAUGUAAAAUGGCGCA
This 1908-nucleotide ribosomal RNA is filed under the name Unicauda fimbrethilae. RNAcentral's name for it is "SSU rRNA". It matches the Rfam family "Eukaryotic small subunit ribosomal RNA". Lineage: Eukaryota; Metazoa; Cnidaria; Myxozoa; Bivalvulida; Myxobolidae. The record is from RNAcentral.